AGAGUUUGAUCCUGGCUCAGAUUGAACGCUGGCGGCAUGCCUUACACAUGCAAGUCGAACGGCAGCGCGGGAGCAAUCCUGGCGGCGAGUGGCGAACGGGUGAGUAAUACAUCGGAACGUGCCCAAUCGUGGGGGAUAACGCAGCGAAAGCUGUGCUAAUACCGCAUACGAUCUACGGAUGAAAGCAGGGGAUCGCAAGACCUUGCGCGAAUGGAGCGGCCGAUGGCAGAUUAGGUAGUUGGUGAGGUAAAGGCUCACCAAGCCUUCGAUCUGUAGCUGGUCUGAGAGGACGACCAGCCACACUGGGACUGAGACACGGCCCAGACUCCUACGGGAGGCAGCAGUGGGGAAUUUUGGACAAUGGGCGCAAGCCUGAUCCAGCCAUGCCGCGUGCAGGAUGAAGGCCUUCGGGUUGUAAACUGCUUUUGUACGGAACGAAACGGUCUUUUCUAAUAAAGAAGGCUAAUGACGGUACCGUAAGAAUAAGCACCGGCUAACUACGUGCCAGCAGCCGCGGUAAUACGUAGGGUGCAAGCGUUAAUCGGAAUUACUGGGCGUAAAGCGUGCGCAGGCGGUAAUGUAAGACAGUUGU
RNAcentral lists this ribosomal RNA (592 nucleotides) under bacterium enrichment culture. Its description in RNAcentral is "bacterial SSU rRNA". It matches the Rfam family "Bacterial small subunit ribosomal RNA", at positions 8 to 595 of the family's 1533-position model. The record is from RNAcentral. RNAcentral also lists the same sequence under 1 other name.